CCCCAGACUCCUACGGGAGGCAGCAGUGGGGGAUAUUGCACAAUGGGGGGAACCCUGAUGCAGCGACGCCGCGUGGGUGAAGGAGCGUUUCGGCGCGUAAAGCCCUAUCGGCAGGGAAGAAGGUGACGGUACCUGACCAAGAAGCCCCGGCUAACUACGUGCCAGCAGCCGCGGUAAUACGUAGGGGGCAAGCGUUAUCCGGAUUUACUGGGUGUAAAGGGGGCGCAGACGGCAAUGCAAGCCAGGAGUGAAAGCCCGGGGCCCAACCCCGGGACUGCUCUUGGAACUGCAUGGCUGGAGUGCAGGAGGGGCAGGCGGAAUUCCUAGUGUAGCGGUGAAAUGCGUAGAUAUUAGGAGGAACACCGGCGGCGAAGGCGGCCUGCUGGACCGUGACUGACGUUGAGGCUCGAGAGCGUGGGGAGCAAACAGGAUUAGAUACCCGCGUA
This 446-nucleotide ribosomal RNA is filed under the name uncultured bacterium. Its description in RNAcentral is "bacterial SSU rRNA". It matches the Rfam family "Bacterial small subunit ribosomal RNA", at positions 329 to 792 of the family's 1533-position model. The record is from RNAcentral.